Long non-coding RNA from Marmota monax (woodchuck), 1100 nucleotides. RefSeq lists it as uncharacterized. The record is from RefSeq and is a predicted model, not a curated record. The transcript is spliced from 7 exons. Lineage: Eukaryota; Metazoa; Chordata; Mammalia; Rodentia; Sciuridae.
GGGAGCCGCAUCCUCCACUCCACAAGAGGCUGGGAGCAGGGGGGAGACGGGCAGUCCAGCCGCAGGGGCCACCCGUGCAGCCUCUCCUCUUCACAGAAGCAGGGAGCUGGGCAUUCGAGAAGCAGCAGCCUGAUCUGUUUCUGGUGUCAUCGUAGGUGGCCACCUUUGGCUUCUGGGCUCCUCACCUGGGGCGGGUGGGUGCUCCACCACCCUCCCGCCCUCUUUUCUCCCUGUGGACCACAGAACCGCAUCCAGCACCACGGACAGCUCCCGGAUGGGUCUUGCUAAGCUGCCCAGGCUGGCCUCAAACUUACGAUCCUCCUGCCUCAGCCUCCGGGGUCCCUGGGAUUGCGGGCCUGCUCCACGCUCUCUUACUUAGAAGACAAAAGUGGCUCCAGAGGUCAAGAGCUGCAAGAGCAGGAGGCUGAGCGCAGACGCGCAGAAGGGAGACCCGUCCCGGGAACUUCCUGGAGGAAGGGAAGUCAGUCCUGCGCUGGCCCUGUCCCCGGGUCCCUUCCUGAUAGUCCGCAGUGUGGAGAGACCUUCUCCCCGACUGCCAAGGCCUUUUUGAAGGAUCCUGACCCUUCAAAACCUGUUUGGAUUCAGGGCACUUGGAGCCAUAGAAGAUGGCAGGCGCAACCGCAGCCUGUCGCCGCUCACAGACUGUUAGACAGAGGCUCUGUCUGCAGGGAGGACGACAGAAGGAGGAGGAAAAACAUGCUGCUGGCCAUGUGUGAACUCCAUCCAGGGAUACUGGGAGAUGGACACAGAUCUCUAAGAACCCACUUCCCCCGGCGGCUGGGUUCCCUCUGAGAAGCCUUCCAUCCCGGCCGAAGGCUCAGCGCAGCAGAGUGAGAUCCACCAAGGCAGAAAGGAAAUGGGGAGCACCCACCCUCCAGCCUGGGCAGCCAUCCCACCUGGAAGCUUCUGGAAGGAGCCUUCGCUGGGCCCGUUGCUCCCUGUCCACCGGCUGCCCGUGCAGGCCCACCCCGUUUAUCCCGGGUCGUCUCAGCUGGGCUUCCCACGACCUCUGGGGUGAAGUCCCGUCUCCUGUCUAAUAAAGACUCUUGAGUUUUGACUGACAGUGACCGUGGAUGUGC